This 523-nucleotide ribosomal RNA is filed under the name uncultured bacterium. RNAcentral's name for it is "partial 16S ribosomal RNA". It matches the Rfam family "Bacterial small subunit ribosomal RNA", at positions 355 to 894 of the family's 1533-position model. The record is from RNAcentral.
UGGGGAAUGUUGCACAAUGGGCGAAAGCCUGAUGCAGCAACGCCGCGUGAGUGAUGAAGGUCUUCGGAUUGUAAAGCUCUGUCUUUUGGGACGAUAAUGACGGUACCAAAGGAGGAAGCCACGGCUAACUACGUGCCAGCAGCCGCGGUAAUACGUAGGUGGCGAGCGUUGUCCGGAUUUACUGGGCGUAAAGGGUGCGUAGGCGGAUGUUUAAGUGAGAUGUGAAAUACCCGGGCUUAACUUGGGUGCUGCAUUUCAAACUGGAUAUCUAGAGUGCAGGAGAGGAGAAUGGAAUUCCUAGUGUAGCGGUGAAAUGCGUAGAGAUUAGGAAGAACACCAGUGGCGAAGGCGAUUCUCUGGACUGUAACUGACGCUGAGGCACGAAAGCGUGGGUAGCAAACAGGAUUAGAUACCCUGGUAGUCCACGCCGUAAACGAUGAGUACUAGGUGUAGGAGGUAUCGACCCCUUCUGUGCCGCAGUAAACACAUUAAGUACUCCGCCUGGGAAGUACGAUCGCAAGAU